RNAcentral lists this ribosomal RNA (423 nucleotides) under uncultured bacterium. RNAcentral describes it as "partial 16S ribosomal RNA". It matches the Rfam family "Bacterial small subunit ribosomal RNA", at positions 361 to 776 of the family's 1533-position model. The record is from RNAcentral.
AUCUUGUAUAAUGGGGGAACCCCUGAUCAACCCACCCCGCGUGUAUGACGAGGGCCUCCGUCUUGUAAAGUACUUUUUUCAGAGAAGAAAAGGAACCCCCUAACACGGGAAACCGCCGCCGGUCUCUCCAGUUUAACCACCGCCCAACUACGUGCUUGAACUCGCGGUAAUACGUAGGGUGCAAGCGUUAAUCGGAAUUACUGGGCGUAAAGCGUGUGUAGGCGGUUCGGAAAGAAAGAUGUGAAAUGCCAGGGCUCAACCUUGGAACUGCAUUUUUAACUGCCGAGCUAGAGUAUGUCAGAGGGGGGUAGAAUUCCACGUGUAGCAGUGAAAUGCGUAGAUAUGUGGAGGAAUACCGAUGGCGAAGGCAGCCCCCUGGGAUAAUACUGACGCUCAGACACGAAAGCGUGGGGAGCAAACAGG